AAACCCUGGUAGAAUAUAACAGUCUACCCGCCCGAGUACUACGAGUAGUANCUUGAAACUCAAAAGACCUGGCGGUACUUUAUAACCCCUAGAGGAGCCUGUUCUAUAACCGAUGAUCCCCGUCUAACCUCACCCUCUCUUGCCUUAUCCGCCUAUAUACCGCCGUCGUCAGCCUACCCUGUGAAGGGUAACUAGUAGGCAUCAUCAGCAUUACCUCCAAACGUCAGGUCGACGUGUAGCGUAUGAGAGGGGAAGAAAUGGGCUACAUUUACUAACCUAGUAAAAACAGAAGAAGUAGUGAAACCUACCUCCGAAGGUGGAUUUAGUAGUAAGAGGGGAAUAGAGUGCCCC
RNAcentral lists this ribosomal RNA (351 nucleotides) under Callionymus lyra (dragonet). RNAcentral describes it as "partial 12S ribosomal RNA". It matches the Rfam family "Bacterial small subunit ribosomal RNA", at positions 801 to 1360 of the family's 1533-position model. Lineage: Eukaryota; Metazoa; Chordata; Actinopteri; Syngnathiformes; Callionymidae. The record is from RNAcentral.